This 75-nucleotide small RNA is filed under the name Xanthomonas campestris. Its description in RNAcentral is "sRNA sX9". It matches the Rfam family "Xanthomonas sRNA sX9". The record is from RNAcentral. Lineage: Bacteria; Pseudomonadati; Pseudomonadota; Gammaproteobacteria; Lysobacterales; Lysobacteraceae. RNAcentral also lists the same sequence under 2 other names.
AUUUACCCACGUACAUUCCGGUUCCUCCGCGCCGUCCGCACCCACCUGACGACUGCUCGCUACGUUUUGUUAGCC